UACAGGGGGUGCAAGCGUUGUUCGGAAUUACUGGGCGUAAAGGGCGUGUAGGCGGCUUCAUAAGUCAGGUGUGAAAUCCCGGGGCUCAACUCCGGAAGUGCAUUUGAAACUGUGAGGCUAGAGUGCUGUAGAGGAUGGCGGAAUACCCAGUGGAGAGGUGAAAUUCGUAGAUAUUGGGUAGAACACCGGUGGCGAAGGCGGCCAUCUGGGCAGCAACUGACGCUGAGGCGCGAGAGCGUGGGGAGCAAACAGG
This 253-nucleotide ribosomal RNA is filed under the name uncultured bacterium. Its description in RNAcentral is "partial 16S ribosomal RNA". It matches the Rfam family "Bacterial small subunit ribosomal RNA", at positions 524 to 776 of the family's 1533-position model. The record is from RNAcentral.